RNAcentral lists this ribosomal RNA (475 nucleotides) under uncultured bacterium. RNAcentral's name for it is "bacterial SSU rRNA". It matches the Rfam family "Bacterial small subunit ribosomal RNA", at positions 346 to 793 of the family's 1533-position model. The record is from RNAcentral.
AGGCAGCAGGUGGGGAAUAUUGCACAAUGGGCGCAAGCCUGAUGCAGCCAUGCCGCGUGUGUGAAGAAGGCCGUUCGGGUUAGUAAAGCACUUUCAGCGAGGAGGAAGGGUUCAGUGUUAAUAGCACUGUUCAUUGACGUUACUCGCAGAAGAAGCACCGGCUAACUCCGUGCCAGCAGCCGACGGUAAUACGGAGGGUGACAAGCGUUAAUACGGAAUUACGUGGGGACGUAAAGCGCACGCAGGUCGGUUUAGUUAAGUCAGAUGUAGAAACUCCCCCGCGACUUAACGGUAGGGAACUGCUAUUUAGAAACGUGGACAAGCUAGAGUCUUGUAGAGGGGGUAGAAUUCCAGGUGUAGCGGUGAAAUGCGUAGAGAUCUGGAGGAAUACCGGUGGCGAAGGCGGCCCCCUGGACAAAGACUGACGCUCAGGUGCGAAAGCGUGGGGAGCAAACAGGAUUAGAUACCCUGGUAG